This 72-nucleotide transfer RNA is filed under the name Dorea formicigenerans. RNAcentral describes it as "tRNA-OTHER". It matches the Rfam family "tRNA". From Rfam's summary of the family: Transfer RNA (tRNA) molecules are approximately 80 nucleotides in length. The record is from RNAcentral. Lineage: Bacteria; Bacillati; Bacillota; Clostridia; Lachnospirales; Lachnospiraceae.
UGGUCAUUAGCUCAGUUGUUAGAGCAAUGGUUUUCGAACCAUAUGUCACGGGUUCAAUUCCCGUAUGACCAU